This 226-nucleotide long non-coding RNA is filed under the name Glycine max (soybean). Its description in RNAcentral is "long non-coding RNA (GMAX_LNC002480)". Lineage: Eukaryota; Viridiplantae; Streptophyta; Magnoliopsida; Fabales; Fabaceae. The record is from RNAcentral.
GGGUUUUGGGGGAUAUGAUGGGUAGUUUUACUAGAUUAAUGCCUUAUGGUAGUUAUUUGUGAAAGAAUUUGUUGAAAGCAUGCUAUACUUGACAUGUUUGUUGUGAGACAAAUUUACCCAUUCCAUUUUAGGGUUUUAUAGUGAUGUUUUGUGAUGCUUGUGGGCUGAAAUUGUUGGUAGAAAACUGGUAGAGAUGAUGGGGAGAGUUAACCUAGGGUUAAAUGUG